RNAcentral lists this ribosomal RNA (253 nucleotides) under uncultured bacterium. Its description in RNAcentral is "partial 16S ribosomal RNA". It matches the Rfam family "Bacterial small subunit ribosomal RNA", at positions 524 to 776 of the family's 1533-position model. The record is from RNAcentral.
UACGGGGGGGGCAAGCGUUGUUCGGAAUUACUGGGCGUAAAGGGCGCGUAGGCGGCCCUCCUUGUCGCGUGUGAAAGCCCCGGGCUCAACCUGGGAACGGCGCGCGAGACGGGGGGGCUGGAGUUCGGGAGAGGAGCGUGGAAUUCCCAGUGUAGAGGUGAAAUUCGUAGAUAUUCGGAAGAACACCAGUGGCGAAGGCGGCUCACUGGCCCGGUACUGACGCUGAGGUGCGAAAGCGUGGGGAGCAAACAGG